Molecule: long non-coding RNA, 682 nt
Organism: Oncorhynchus tshawytscha (Chinook salmon)
Lineage: Eukaryota; Metazoa; Chordata; Actinopteri; Salmoniformes; Salmonidae
Source: Ensembl
GAGGGAGACAGAAUGAGUCAGAGGAGACAGACGGAGUCAGAGGGAGACAGGAGGAGUCGGAGGGAGACAGGAGGAGUCAGAGGGAGACAGACGGAGUCAGAGGGAGACAGGAGGAGUCAGAGGGAGUCGGAGGGAGACAGGAGGAGUCGGAGGGAGACAGAAUGAACAGGAGGAGUCAGAGGGAGUCGGAGGGAGACAGGAGGAGUCAGAGGAGACCGAAUAAGUCAGAGGGAGACAGGAGGAGUCGGAGGGAGACAGGAGGAGUCAGAGGGAGACAGAAUGAGUCAGAGGGAGACAGGAGGAGUCAGGGAGGGAGACAGGAGGAGUCAGAGGGAGACAGAAUGAGUCAGAGGAGACAGGAGGAGUCAGAGGGAGUCGGAGGGAGACAGGAGGAGUCAGAGGGAGUCUGAGGGAGACAGGAGGAGUCAAAGGGAGACAGAGGGAGACAGGAGGAGUCAGAGGGAGUCUGAGGGAGACAGGAGGAGUCAGAGGGAGUCGGAGGGAGACAGGAGGAGUCAGAGGGAGACGGAGGGAGACAGGAGGAGUCAGAGGGAGACAGAGGGAGACAGGAGGAGUCAAAGGGAGUCUGAGGGAGACAGGAGGAGUCAGAGGGAGUCCCUCUGUCUGAUGGAUUUCAGUUUUCCUGACAUUAAAAUCAUUGGCCACUAGGAGCACAGUCUCG